GCCUUAGUACGGCGAGUGAAGCGGCAAAAGCUCAAAUUUGAAAUCUGGUACCUUCGGUGCCCGAGUUGUAAUUUGGAGAGGGCAACUUUGGGGCCGUUCCUUGUCUAUGUUCCUUGGAACAGGACGUCAUAGAGGGUGAGAAUCCCGUGUGGCGAGGAGUGCGGUUCUUUGUAAAGUGCCUUCGAAGAGUCGAGUUGUUUGGGAAUGCAGCUCUAAGUGGGUGGUAAAUUCCAUCUAAAGCUAAAUAUUGGCGAGAGACCGAUAGCGAACAAGUACAGUGAUGGAAAGAUGAAAAGAACUUUGAAAAGAGAGUGAAAAAGUACGUGAAAUUGUUGAAAGGGAAGGGCAUUUGAUCAGACAUGGUGUUUUGUGCCCUCUGCUCCUUGUGGGUAGGGGAAUCUCGCAUUUCACUGGGCCAGCAUCAGUUUUGGUGGCAGGAUAAAUCCAUAGGAAUGUAGCUUGCCUCGGUAAGUAUUAUAGCCUGUGGGAAUACUGCCAGCUGGGACUGAGG
Molecule: ribosomal RNA, 511 nt
Filed under: Saccharomyces cerevisiae (brewer's yeast)
Lineage: Eukaryota; Fungi; Ascomycota; Saccharomycetes; Saccharomycetales; Saccharomycetaceae
Description: eukaryotic LSU rRNA
Rfam family: Eukaryotic large subunit ribosomal RNA
Source: RNAcentral